RNAcentral lists this ribosomal RNA (493 nucleotides) under uncultured bacterium. Its description in RNAcentral is "bacterial SSU rRNA". It matches the Rfam family "Bacterial small subunit ribosomal RNA", at positions 28 to 515 of the family's 1533-position model. The record is from RNAcentral.
GACGAACGCUGGCGGCGUGCCUAACACAUGCAAGUCGAGCGGAAGUAAUGCGCGGAAGUUUUCGGAUGGAAGGGUAUUACUUUAGCGGCGGACGGGUGAGUAACGCGUGAGCAACCUGCCUUUCACAGGGGGAUAACGCACCGAAAGGUGCACUAAUACCGCAUGAGACCACGGAGCUGCAUGGCUCAGGGGUCAAAGGAGCAAUCCGGUGAAAGAUGGGCUCGCGUCCGAUUAGAUAGUUGGUGAGGUAAUGGCUCACCAAGUCGACGAUCAGUAGCCGGCCUGAGAGGGUGACCGGCCACACUGGGACUGAGACACGGCCCAGACUCCUACGGGAGGCAGCAGUGGGGAAUCUUCCGCAAUGGGCGAAAGCCUGAUGCAGCGACGCCGCGUGAGGGAUGAAGGCCUCGGUUGUAACGUACUUCUAGCAGGAAGAAGACGAAGUAGACGGUACCGUGCAGAAGAAGACACCGGCUAACUACGUGCCAGCACG